Molecule: ribosomal RNA, 451 nt
Filed under: Helicobacter pylori
Lineage: Bacteria; Pseudomonadati; Campylobacterota; Epsilonproteobacteria; Campylobacterales; Helicobacteraceae
Description: bacterial SSU rRNA
Rfam family: Bacterial small subunit ribosomal RNA
Source: RNAcentral
UAUGACGGGUAUCCGGCCUGAGAGGGUGAACGGACACACUGGAACUGAGACACGGUCCAGACUCCUACGGGAGGCAGCAGUAGGGAAUAUUGAUCAAUGGGGGAAACCCUGAAGCAGCAACGCCGCGUGGAGGAUGAAGGUUUUAGGAUUGUAAACUCCUUUUGUUAGAGAAGAUAAUGACGGUAUCUAACGAAUAAGCACCGGCUAACUCCGUGCCAGCAGCCGCGGUAAUACGGAGGGUGCAAGCGUUACUCGGAAUCACUGGGCGUAAAGAGCGCGUAGGCGGGAUAGUCAGUCAGGUGUGAAAUCCUAUGGCUUAACCAUAGAACUGCAUUUGAAACUACUAUUCUAGAGUGUGGGAGAGGUAGGUGGAAUUCUUGGUGUAGGGGUAAAAUCCGUAGAGAUCAAGAGGAAUACUCAUUGCGAAGGCGACCUGCUGGAACAUUACUAC